UACACCGAAAACCGGUGUAUAUUUUCGUUACGAUAUUAAUUUUUAAUAUACCGCCAUACCGAUGUAUUUAAUUACUCAACGUUCGGAACGUUAUGCUGCACCGCGACCGCGGGACACUGUUUCAGACGGACCCUUUACAAUGUUGCACUUCUAAGCAGCGACAGCGGUAAACACAGUAGUGCUCUUGUGUUACGUUAUAACGCCUGUUUCACACAUACUCCGUCUGCAGUGCAUAUGCGUUGCGUAUUUUUUUUACACACCCAUGUUAAUGGAUUCCAGCGUUCAUACUGCACGAGGUUGCGGUCCGUCAGUGUGUUCCAGGAGCGGUGUGUCUGCAGCAGUGCAGCGAUCGUUUAUGUACCGGGUUUUUGGCUAGGUUUAAAACAAGAAAAAGUGCACUUUUAGAUAAACAAGGAAAACAAUAUAUAUAUUCACUUUUAUGGAGGCAGAAAAACAAAGUUCAUUAAGACCCGUGGGAUUGCUUGUGAUAAAGAUUUAAAUGCAAAAGGCACGAGACUGUUUCUGUCUGUGGUGUUUUAAUUUGAAAUAUUUUAACAAGAAAAGUAGGCUAAUGUUUGUCCGUGCUGCGGACUGCAUAUGCACUGCAGACGGAGUAUGUGUGAAACAGGCGUUACAGGGAAGAUGGAUGCUGCAGAACUAGUAGAACAUGACACAGAAGAACUUGUGCUAAGAAGAGGAGCCUGGUCUGUUGUUUGGAGGGUUUUUGGUUUCUAAAAAUCCGACGUCGACCAAACAACCAUUUUAUGCAAGUGCUGUCGGGCUAAAACCACGUCUUGGAAUAUCAACCAGCAGAAAAUGCAUUGUACACCUGAUUAUGCAUGAGAAAAAAAAAAAAAAAAAAGUCAUAAACCGGGAAACCGGCAUAAUUUAGAAAAAAACGUGAUAUAAAUUAUUGGUCAAACCGCCCAGCACUAGCAUGGAUGAUAGGAGCAGGAGAAAUAACGUACGACUGGUGGGGUUACCAGAGGGAAGGAAGGCUCUGGUGCAGCCGGCUUUCUCAGAGCUAAUCUUUUCAAGUGGAUUGCUGCACUGAAGGGACGCGAUAUUGAGAUUGAGCGCGCUCAUCGUGUGUUUGACGGAAGAAAAAGUAACUCCGAGCGGCCGCAUACUCUUAUCUUUCAUGUGCUGAGAUGGCAGGACAGAUUGGAGAUCCUGAAGGGUGCACAGCAGGCAUACUCGGUGAAAUAUAUGCAGGAUAAUGCCACGCUGCUGAUUUCAGUCCAGCCACGUCUGCCAGGAGAAGGAACCUCAGACUAGUCCUUGGGAGAAUGACAGCACUGGGUCUGCAGUCGUUUCUCAUCUAUCCGGCGAUUAUUAAACUACGGCACAACGGUGAGCAGAUGAUGUUGGACUAAUUUUAUCAGCUCACUGCCACAGAAGAAGCAUCUUAACUGCCCAGGAGAGGAGAAUAACAAGUUGGACAUGGACACUUAAGUUUCUGCUGUGCUCUUCUAUCCUACAGUUUUGUCUAGUGACCGAUAAGCUUUGAAAUCUUUGAAUUUGACUUUUGAAUUUUUUUUUUUUUUUGAGCUAAUGGAGAGAAGGAUUGAUUACUAGUUCUUGACACUGGGCUUUCCAGGGACAGGUUUUGUGUUGGUGUGGAUCGGUCACGUAUCCAGAUAUUUUUCUUCUUUUUUUUUCUUUUUUUUAUAUUCUCGGUAAUGUGCAGUCUGCUUUGGUUUGGGUUCAAAGUUGUUUGUCGUUCCUUUUUCUGUGCUACUGUUAUUUUAUACAACAGACAUUAAUAUCUUUAUUUAUUUCAUUUGAAUUUUGAAAGGUUUGUGCACUCGGGUGGUUUCAUAUAUAGAGUUGCUUUGGGGAGAUCUCAUUUUACGCGGGAUUGGAUUGUGCCAGCUUCUGGUCAACCAUCUGUUUCCUCGAUGUGUGCUGGAAUUGUUGAUUGCAUUGCAAUGUCUUUUUCUGUCAAAUCUGUUUGGAAUCGGGAAUUGUCUGACCUUGGUUUGUCUGUCGACUUGGGAGAGGGUGUGGUCGAACCUCUAAAAACUCGGCUCAUCAUCUUAUAUAUUUCAAGGUUAUCCAUGGAGUAUGUGUAGUGGCUCUGGGUGUGUGGAUGAUGUCUGUUGUUGUUGUUUUGGUGUUUUGUGGUGUUUGUUGUGUGUAUAAAAAUAAAUAAAAACUUGAUCACAAAAAAAAGAACAUUUGGGCUGUGAGUGUCUGUAGUUUACAUUGUAGAACAAAACGUCAAAGUAUUGUCACGAUAUGUUUACCACAGGCUUUAUUUUACUCAUAAAUAAAAAAUAAAUAAAUGAUAAAAAAAAAAAAACAUUAUAAAACCCAAUAGGAAAAUCUUGAAGAAACCUGUGGUGAAUUACACGUCCAGUUUCUGACAUCAUAUUCCCCCCGCUUUAUUUGAACAUCUCGGGUUAUGCAUGUAACCAUGGUUCUGUUGCAGCUUUACAUCUCAUUCAAACAAUCCAGUCAAGGUAAGAUUAAAGAGAGUUUUAAACUUGAUUUAGCAAGGUAGUUUAGCAAACUAGUUUGUCAAAUACUGACAAUAAACCACAGUUCAGCAUUUAAUGUGUAAUAAACAUGCAAUGUCAAAAGAUUCAUGUCAAUAUUUAAGGUUAAAUGCUUUUCAACCUACAUUUAACAGUAAGUGUCAGAUUUAACAUGGAGAUUGUGAUCAGAGUUUGUUUAACAUGUUGUGGCAGAUCAGCUGUAGAGUUGUAAGUUAUUUUUACUGAUUUGCAUUGUCGAAUAAUUGUGUAGUAGAGGCCAUGGUUUCCCAGAAAUUCAGAAAGUCCAGAACCAUCAACAUCAUCAGAUUCUAGGUUGACUACAAUAACAGGCAUCUGCCUCAUCUCGUAACAAACUUUGAUUUCUAUAGCUUGGUUAGAUCUCACAAUUCUACAUGAGCUCUCAACCGAUGAUGCAUUGGAGCUACCUGGUAAUCGCUUCCCAUGUUUCUAUGUUGCACACAGAAAACUAAAUUCAAUUCAAUUCAAUUCAAGUUUAUUUGUAUAGCGCUUUUUACGAUACAAUCAUUACAAAGCAACUUUACAGAAAAUUAAGUUUCUACAAUAUUUAGUAGUAGCUUAUCAGUGGUGACUGUCAGUUCAUGUGCAUAUAGCAGAAAUGUUCAGAAAAAUCAAUAAAAAGACGUAAACAAACAGACGAUUAACACUAUUAACAGCAAUUAUGCAAUCAAACUUAUAACAAAAUGUGGUAGUUCUGUAUGUUGUCUCUGGGUUAGCAUCAUCUGAGGUCCUCUGAGGGGUUGGCAUCAUCUCUUCUCAGGUGUUCUGGAUCCAGACUGGAGCUUGUGUAAAUCCUAGUUACCACGGGAUGUAAAUCCCGUGGCAAAGCAGAGAAACAAAUAGAGACAUAAUUAGCGUAGCUGCUGUUCCAGCCAAGUAAAAUUAAUUAGUUUAACCCAAGCUAAAGAAUAAUAAUGCACAUUUGAUCAGAUAUAA
Molecule: long non-coding RNA, 3455 nt
Organism: Cyprinus carpio carpio
Lineage: Eukaryota; Metazoa; Chordata; Actinopteri; Cypriniformes; Cyprinidae
Source: Ensembl